UUUUGUGUGCGGCAUAUGUACCAGAAUUUCCACAAGAUCCACAAAGGUGAACAGUUGAAGAACAACUUGUGGUUAAUUGCUAGGGCCACAAAUAUUCCUGCAUACACUGGAGCAAUGGAAAAGAUGAAACAAGACAGCUUUGAUGCAUACAAAUGGGCUGAGAAAUGGCCUCCAAGAACCUGGAUUAAAGCAUUUUUUAACCCAUUUCCAAAGUGUGACAUUCUACUCAAUAACAUGCCUGAAGUUUUCAAUAGCUGGAUCUUGCAAUCAAGAGAACUACCCAUCAAGUCAAUGUUGGACAACAUGAAUGACAAGAUCACAACCAGGAUGCACAACAAGCAGAAGGAGUUGUCCACUGAUAGAAAAUGGACAAGAAGAUUGUGCCCAAAAAUUCAAAAGAAACUUGAUAAGUUUACUGAAUGGGCUGCUCACUGCAUGGUUCAAGGGGCAGGUCAAAAGGUUUUCAAGGUGCUGUCAAUGCACCAUUCGUAUAUAGUUGAUUUGAACAAUGAGAGUUGUGAUUGCAAAAGA
Molecule: ribosomal RNA, 531 nt
Filed under: Triticum aestivum (bread wheat)
Lineage: Eukaryota; Viridiplantae; Streptophyta; Magnoliopsida; Poales; Poaceae
Description: partial small subunit ribosomal RNA
Source: RNAcentral